UAAUAAGAAGUAAAUUUUACCUUUAGUUUCGACCUAAAAAUAUGACGAUUUUAUACGUCCUUAUUAA
Molecule: transfer RNA, 67 nt
Filed under: Mystonectes coelamboides
Lineage: Eukaryota; Metazoa; Arthropoda; Insecta; Coleoptera; Dytiscidae
Description: tRNA-Arg
Source: RNAcentral